Molecule: ribosomal RNA, 497 nt
Filed under: uncultured bacterium
Lineage: Bacteria
Description: partial 16S ribosomal RNA
Rfam family: Bacterial small subunit ribosomal RNA
Source: RNAcentral
GAUGAACGCUGGCGGCGUGCCUAACACAUGCAAGUCGAGCGAACAGACGAGGAGCUUGCUCCUCUGACGUUAGCGGCGGACGGGUGAGUAACACGUGGAUAACCUACCUAUAAGACUGGGAUAACUUCGGGAAACCGGAGCUAAUACCGGAUAAUAUAUUGAACCGCAUGGUUCAAUAGUGAAAGACGGUUUUGCUGUCACUUAUAGAUGGUUCCGCGCUGCAUUAGCUAGUUGGUAAGGUAACGGCUUACCAAGGCGACGAUGCGUAGCCGACCUGAGAGGGUGAUCGGCCACACUGGAACUGAGACACGGUCCAGACUCCUACGGGAGGCAGCAGUAGGGAAUCUUCCGCAAUGGGCGAAAGCCUGACGGAGCAACGCCGCGUGAGUGAUGAAGGUCUUCGGAUCGUAAAACUCUGUUAUUAGGGAAGAACAAAUGUGUAAGUAACUAUGCACGUCUUGACGGUACCUAAUCAGAAAGCCACGGCUAACUACGUG